This 253-nucleotide ribosomal RNA is filed under the name uncultured bacterium. Its description in RNAcentral is "partial 16S ribosomal RNA". It matches the Rfam family "Bacterial small subunit ribosomal RNA", at positions 524 to 776 of the family's 1533-position model. The record is from RNAcentral.
UACGUAGGGGGCAAGCGUUGUCCGGAUUUAUUGGGCGUAAAGAGCGUGUAGGCGGCUAUACAGGUCCGCUGUGAAAACUCGAGGCUCAACCUCGAGACGCCGAUGGAAACCGUAUGGCUAGAGUCCGGAAGAGGAGAGCGGAAUUCCUGGUGUAGCGGUGAAAUGCGCAGAUAUCAGGAAGAACACCCGUGGCGAAGGCGGCUCUCUGGGACGGUACUGACGCUGAGACGCGAAAGCGUGGGGAGCGAACAGG